RNAcentral lists this ribosomal RNA (378 nucleotides) under uncultured archaeon. Its description in RNAcentral is "bacterial SSU rRNA". It matches the Rfam family "Archaeal small subunit ribosomal RNA", at positions 1070 to 1448 of the family's 1478-position model. The record is from RNAcentral.
CCUGUCUUUUCCGGGAGGCGGUGCACUAUAGAGAGACCGCUUGGUGUGAAACCCAGAGGAAGGCGAGGGCAACGACAGGUCAGUAUGCCCCGAAUGUCCUGGGCUACACGCGCGCUACAAAGGACGGGACAAUGGGAAGCUAGGCCGAGAGGCCACGCUAACCCGAAACCCGUUCAUAGUUCGGAUUGAGGGCUGUAACUCGCCCUCAUGAAGCUGGAUUCCGUAGUAAUCGUGUUUCAAUAUAGCACGGUGAAUAUGCCCCUGCUCCUUGCACACACCGCCCGUCAAACCAUCUUAGUUGGGGGUGGGUGAGGCUGCGCUUUAUGGCGUAUUCGAGCCUGCCUUCGACAAGGAGGGUUAAGUCGUAACAAGGUAGCC